AAAAAAGGGUCGCAAGGCCCGUUUUUAAAACCUACCACCACCUAUCAUUUAUGGGUGAGACACUCUUGUCUAUGGAUGAGAUGGAGGAGGUAGGGCUUUUUAAAAUCCAAUUAUUAUAAAAUCGUCUAAUGACGAACCAAAAAAAAUUAUCA
Molecule: unclassified non-coding RNA, 152 nt
Filed under: soil metagenome
Description: partial internal transcribed spacer 1
Source: RNAcentral